GUAGUCAUAUGCUUGUCUCAAAGAUUAAGCCAUGCAUGUCUAAGUACAUGCCGAAAUAAGGCGAAACCGCGAAUGGCUCAUUAAAUCAGUUAUGGUUCCUUAGAUUGUUUCUUCCUACUUGGAUAACUGUGGCAAUUCUAGAGCUAAUACAUGCAGUGAGCCCUUGUGUCCUUUUUGGCCAGCGGGUGCUUUUAUUAGACCAAGAUCGAUCGGGUUUCGGCCCGUAUUGUGUGGUGACUC
RNAcentral lists this ribosomal RNA (240 nucleotides) under Haemaphysalis sp. 'microcebi'. Its description in RNAcentral is "partial 18S ribosomal RNA". It matches the Rfam family "Eukaryotic small subunit ribosomal RNA", at positions 20 to 252 of the family's 1831-position model. Lineage: Eukaryota; Metazoa; Arthropoda; Arachnida; Ixodida; Ixodidae. The record is from RNAcentral.